GGAUGUGUACACCAUCUAUCCGGGACAUCUGUCACUGUGCUGAAUCCCCAAGACUGAUAAAGCUGACCUGGCUGGUUAGGUGGUUGUCCCCUUCCUCACUAAUCCAUGUGGGAUGCUCCCUAAGUUUUAUGGCAGUCACAGGUAGAGAAAGGCCACUGCCCAGCCAUGGAUACCUACAGCCAUCCACAGAGAGACUGCUCUGGCUUGGUUUGUCUGCUGAGAAACUAAUAUAGUGAACUGAAAGAAAAUGAUCUUUUAUGUUUUUGAAGAAGGAGUUUAAGUGACAGCUUUUUGUUCUUC
RNAcentral lists this small nuclear RNA (300 nucleotides) under Loxodonta africana (African savanna elephant). RNAcentral's name for it is "7SK RNA". It matches the Rfam family "7SK RNA". From Rfam's summary of the family: 7SK was discovered as an abundant small nuclear RNA in the mid-70s but a possible function has only recently been suggested. Lineage: Eukaryota; Metazoa; Chordata; Mammalia; Proboscidea; Elephantidae. The record is from Rfam by way of RNAcentral.